GCGGGUGUAGCUCAGUCGGUUAGAGCGCCAGAUUGUGGCUCUGGAGGUCG
Non-coding RNA from Thalassospira sp. MCCC 1A01428, 50 nucleotides. The record is from Rfam. NCBI's taxonomy places the organism in Bacteria, Pseudomonadati, Pseudomonadota, Alphaproteobacteria, Rhodospirillales, Thalassospiraceae.